Molecule: ribosomal RNA, 473 nt
Filed under: Virchowia clavata
Lineage: Eukaryota; Metazoa; Annelida; Polychaeta; Phyllodocida; Syllidae
Description: partial 16S ribosomal RNA
Rfam family: Bacterial large subunit ribosomal RNA
Source: RNAcentral
AGCCUAUUGAAUUCACAAUAAUAGGUAAAUUCUGCCCAAUGAAWUUUUUAAUGGCCGCGGUAUCCUGACCGUGCAAAGGUAGCAUAAUCAUUUGCCUUCUAAUUAAAGGCUAGAAUGAAUGAAUAAACAUAAAUCUAACUUUUCCUAAGAUAAUAAUAAAAAUUAUCCUUCAGGUGAAGAGACCUGAAUAUUAUAAAAAGACAAGAAGACCCUAUCAAGCUUUAUUCAUAAUUAUAAUUAUUAUUAAUAUGAAUUUAAUUGGGGAGAUUAAUGGAGUUUAUAAACCUCCAUAAUAUAAAAGAUAAAUAUAUCUUAUCUUAAUAAUAUAAAAUAAUAAAGCUACUGUAGGGAUAACAGGCUAAUAAAUUCUUAGAGUUCAAAUUAAAGAAUUUGAUUGGCACCUCGAUGUUGGCUUAGGAUAUCUAUUCUCCGCAAAAGGAGAAUAAGAUAGUUUGUUCAACUAUUAAAUUCCU